This 305-nucleotide long non-coding RNA is filed under the name Cyanistes caeruleus (blue tit). RNAcentral describes it as "lncRNA (ENSCCEG00000011149.1)". Lineage: Eukaryota; Metazoa; Chordata; Aves; Passeriformes; Paridae. The record is from RNAcentral.
GCUUUAGCCUUAGGUGGGGGAGUUUUCCAUUUCCCUUUCAGCUUAUAUUAAAUUACUUUCCUUUCUUGUCAUAGGCAUAAUCCUUUGAUGGGAAAACCUUGACGGCCUUUCAGAAGAGGAAGAAAGCCCUCCUCUGCAGAGUCACCAGGGACUGGCUAUUACUAAUUGAUUCUACAUGGAGAACACACAGUGGUGACAGCCAUCAGUCUGAAACAAGCUUGCAGACUCCCAGGAAUUGUUUACCUUUCCACAGGGAAUGGAUGCAGGCCUCUGUCCCUUGUGCCCUGGCCUAUAUGGAAGGAUGA